CUGCUUUUGUACGGAACGAAAAGGUCUCUGUUAAUACCAGGGGCUGAUGACGGUACCGUAAGAAUAAGCACCGGCUAACUACGUGCCAGCAGCCGCGGUAAUACGUAGGGUGCGAGCGUUAAUCGGAAUUACUGGGCGUAAAGCGUGCGCAGGCGGUCUUGUAAGACAGAUGUGAAAUCCCCGGGCUCAACCUGGGAACUGCAUUUGUGACUGCAAGGCUAGAGUGCGGCAGAGGGGGAUGGAAUUCCGCGUGUAGCAGUGAAAUGCGUAGAUAUGCGGAGGAACACCGAUGGCGAAGGCAAUCCCCUGGGCCUGCACUGACGCUCAUGCACGAAAGCGUGGGGAGCAAACAGGAUUAGAUACCCUGGUAGUCCACGCCCU
This 381-nucleotide ribosomal RNA is filed under the name uncultured beta proteobacterium. RNAcentral describes it as "bacterial SSU rRNA". It matches the Rfam family "Bacterial small subunit ribosomal RNA", at positions 430 to 803 of the family's 1533-position model. The record is from RNAcentral. Lineage: Bacteria; Pseudomonadati; Pseudomonadota; Betaproteobacteria.